This 528-nucleotide ribosomal RNA is filed under the name uncultured bacterium. RNAcentral's name for it is "bacterial SSU rRNA". It matches the Rfam family "Bacterial small subunit ribosomal RNA", at positions 8 to 518 of the family's 1533-position model. The record is from RNAcentral.
AGGGUUCGAUUCUGGCUCAGGAUGAACGCUGGCGGCGUGCCUAAUACAUGCAAGUCGAGCGAACAGAUAAGGAGCUUGCUCCUUGACGUUAGCGGCGGACGGGUGAGUAACACGUGGGUAACCUACCUAUAAGACUGGGAUAACUUCGGGAAACCGGAGCUAAUACCGGAUAACAUUUGGAACCGCAUGGUUCUAAAGUGAAAGAUGGUUUUUGCUAUCACUUAUAGAUGGACCCGCGCCGUAUUAGCUAGUUGGUAAGGUAACGGCUUACCAAGGCGACGAUACGUAGCCGACCUGAGAGGGUGAUCGGCCACACUGGAACUGAGACACGGUCCAGACUCCUACGGGAGGCAGCAGUAGGGAAUCUUCCGCAAUGGGCGAAAGCCUGACGGAGCAACGCCGCGUGAGUGAUGAAGGGUUUCGGCUCGUAAAACUCUGUUAUUAGGGAAGAACAAAUGUGUAAGUAACUGUGCACGUCUUGACGGUACCUAAUCAGAAAGCCACGGCUAACUACGUGCCAGCCGCCGC